This 284-nucleotide ribosomal RNA is filed under the name Providencia alcalifaciens. RNAcentral describes it as "partial 16S ribosomal RNA". It matches the Rfam family "Bacterial small subunit ribosomal RNA", at positions 446 to 721 of the family's 1533-position model. Lineage: Bacteria; Pseudomonadati; Pseudomonadota; Gammaproteobacteria; Enterobacterales; Morganellaceae. The record is from RNAcentral.
AGGAAGGCGUUGAUGCUAAUAUCAUCAACGAUUGACGUUACCAACAGAAGAAGCACCGGCUAACUCCGUGCCAGCAGCCGCGGUAAUACGGAGGGUGCAAGCGUUAAUCGGAAUUACUGGGCGUAAAGCGCACGCAGGCGGUUGAUUAAGUUAGAUGUGAAAUCCCCGGGCUUAACCUGGGAAUGGCAUCUAAGACUGGUCAGCUAGAGUCUUGUAGAGGGGGGUAGAAUUCCAUGUGUAGCGGUGAAAUGCGUAGAGAUGUGGAGGAAUACCGGUGGCGAAGG